GCCAAAUUAGCUUAGUUGGUAGAGCAACUCAUUCGUAAUGAGUAGGUCGUAGGUUCGAUCCCUAUAUUUGGCACCA
This 76-nucleotide transfer RNA is filed under the name Bacillota bacterium. RNAcentral describes it as "tRNA-Thr". It matches the Rfam family "tRNA". Rfam says of the family: Transfer RNA (tRNA) molecules are approximately 80 nucleotides in length. The record is from RNAcentral. Lineage: Bacteria; Bacillati; Bacillota.